Molecule: small nuclear RNA, 134 nt
Organism: Toxorhynchites rutilus septentrionalis
Lineage: Eukaryota; Metazoa; Arthropoda; Insecta; Diptera; Culicidae
Product: U4 spliceosomal RNA
Exons: 1
Source: RefSeq, a predicted model, not a curated record
UUAAGUAUCCAAUGGCGAUAUCGUAACCAAUGAGGUUAUACCGAGAUGUGAUUAUUGCUAAUUGAAAAAAAAAUCUAUUUAACCCAUUAACGACCAAGCUGUAAAACUUAUUUUUUUAACAAAAGCCAUUGCUG